Molecule: transfer RNA, 86 nt
Filed under: uncultured phage cr108_1
Lineage: Duplodnaviria; Heunggongvirae; Uroviricota; Caudoviricetes; Crassvirales; Steigviridae
Description: crAssphage cr108_1 tRNA-Leu
Rfam family: tRNA
About the family: Transfer RNA (tRNA) molecules are approximately 80 nucleotides in length.
Source: RNAcentral
GCCGGGAUGGUGGAAUGGAAGACACCUCAGAUUUAAAUCCUGAUGGUCAGUAAUGACCGUGUGGGUUCGAGUCCCACUCCCGGUAC